GGGUUGUGAGGUUAAGCGACUAAGCGUACACGGUGGAUGCCCUGGCAGUCAGAGGCGAUGAAGGGCGUGCUAAUCUGCGAUAAGCGCCGGUAAGGUGAUAUGAACCGUUAUAACCGGCGAUACCCGAAUGGGGAAACCCAGUGUGACUCGUCACACUAUCAUUAACUGAAUCCAUAGGUUAAUGAGGCGAACCGGGGGAACUGAAACAUCUAAGUACCCCGAGGAAAAGAAAUCAACCGAGAUUCCCCCAGUAGCGGCGAGCGAACGGGGAGGAGCCCAGAGCCUGAAUCAGCAUGUGUGUUAGUGGAAGCGUCUGGAAAGGCGCGCGAUACAGGGUGACAGCCCCGUACACAAAAGCGCAUGUGCUGUGAGCUCGAUGAGUAGGGCGGGACACGUGGUAUCCUGUCUGAAUAUGGGGGGACCAUCCUCCAAGGCUAAAUACUCCUGACUGACCGAUAGUGAACCAGUACCGUGAGGGAAAGGCGAAAAGAACCCCGGCGAGGGGAGUGAAAAAGAACCUGAAACCGUGUACGUACAAGCAGUGGGAGCCCCACCACUAAGCCAGUGGUGAACUCCACAUACGCAUCCUUUGCUGAGGAUACGGUUAACGGAGCGCAAGCGACGUUCAACCGCAAAAGAAGCAGAGGGGGCUUAGUGGUGGGGUGACUGCGUACCUUUUGUAUAAUGGGUCAGCGACUUAUAUUCUGUAGCAAGGUUAACCGUAUAGGGGAGCCGGAGGGAAACCGAGUCUUAAUUGGGCGUUAAGUUGCAGGGUAUAGA
Molecule: ribosomal RNA, 780 nt
Filed under: Salmonella enterica subsp. enterica serovar Derby
Lineage: Bacteria; Pseudomonadati; Pseudomonadota; Gammaproteobacteria; Enterobacterales; Enterobacteriaceae
Also listed under: 1 other name
Description: partial 23S ribosomal RNA
Rfam family: Bacterial large subunit ribosomal RNA
Source: RNAcentral